UGGGGAAUUUUGGACAAUGGGGGCAACCCUGAUCCAGCAAUGCCGCGUGUGUGAAGAAGGCCUUCGGGUUGUAAAGCACUUUUGUCCGGAAAGAAAACGUCGUGGUUAAUACCCGUGGCGGCUGACGGUACCGGAAGAAUAAGCACCGGCUAACUACGUGCCAGCAGCCGCGGUAAUACGUAGGGUGCAAGCGUUAAUCGGAAUUACUGGGCGUAAAGCGUGCGCAGGCGGUCCGCUAAGACAGAUGUGAAAUCCCCGGGCUUAACCUGGGAACUGCAUUUGUGACUGGCGGGCUAGAGUAUGGCAGAGGGGGGUANAAUUCCGCGUGUAGCAGUGAAAUGCGUAGAGAUGUGGAGGAAUACCGAUGGCGAAGGCAGCCCCCUGGGCCAAUACUGAGCUCAUGCACGAAAGCGUGGGGAGCAAACAGGAUUAGAUACCCUGGUAGUCCACGCCCUAAACGAUGUCAACUAGUUGUCGGGUCUUCAUUGACUUGGUAACGUAGCUAACGCGUGAAGUUGACCGCCUGGGGAGUACGGUCGCAAGAUU
Molecule: ribosomal RNA, 546 nt
Filed under: uncultured bacterium
Lineage: Bacteria
Description: partial 16S ribosomal RNA
Rfam family: Bacterial small subunit ribosomal RNA
Source: RNAcentral